AUGAGGCAGAUUGUAUCCCAGCUAAUUAAUUCUGCGUCCUUGUACAACACAUCAAUGAUGCGAUCACAGUGUCUGUCAGAUCCGUUCAAAGUUGCUCAGUGUUUCCUGAACUUGCCUUGUGUUUUCUCGCCAGGAUACGGGCCGUUCGCUGGCAUUGGAUAUCCUGGAGCCAGACCCGGUGCGUCUGCAGCAGAUUUGGGUGGACCUGAGCUGGCCGGUCUGGGCCAAGCUGUUCAAGAUCUGAAGAGACAAAAGAGCAGAGCUCUUGGUUCCUUGUUUGGAAGAGGCGGUGUUCGUGAGCUUUCUAGACCCGAAUUACAGGUUGAAAGUCGUAACCCAGUAGUCGUGCCAGCCAAUCCCGCGUCAUCGGGACCUCUUGAUGCCUCACGUGUAGAAGAAGGAGACGGUUAUGAUCCCGCGGUCUUGAAAAGGAAGAGCUCCACGCGUCAUGGAGCCACACUGACGGCUGGAGGCCUCCAACAGCAACUGCCCCUCAAAAGUCCAAAUAUGAGAGGACUGACGCCUGGUCCGUCUCAAGCAAAGAGCGCCAAAGACUACGAGUCCUCACUUGGGCCAAAUCACCAGACUCCAAGCUGUGGAUCUGCCAGUGAUUUGUCAGAUGCACUGGAAAACAGUCGCCACGGCAUUCUGGGUUUAGACACACAGGAGCCCCAGCGUUUGGUGCCGCCCGUUAGUAAAGACAGCAAAUAUCUUCAAGGAAAAACAACCUAUCCUCUCCCUGGAGCUCAAACCCAUGAAGCCAGAAGCCUCAUAUCGUCUCUUCCUCUAGGUCAGGGAGCCAGGAGCUAUUUAUUAGCAGCGGAAGACAAACAGAGAGUCAAAGACCUCGGUCUUGUGCCCGAGGACAGAAACGGGCUCAGGAUCCGUGGGAGCGUUGCUGUGGAAAAGCGCUCUCGUGGAUCCGUGAGUCUUCAAGUGCAAGGAAGGAGGAACUCUGGACCAAGUGGGAGCCAGGGUUUAGGCACGGUGUCGGUAGGAGGGCAGGAAGCUGAAGGCUUCACUGCUGGUGGUGAGGAGGCAAAGCACCUUCCACAUGCUGAAAGGGAUGUGAUUGAACCCAAAGCUCGCGGUCUCCCAUUGCAGACUGGGAGGAGUAACCAAGCAACAAGUUACAUUGGGGGAGCAGGGAGCUACCUGGGUGCGGCCUUGGGCGCUGGGGGCUACGGAACAGGUUUGGGACAGGGAGCGUACCUGGGCGGUGCAGCUGGGAAGCUGGGAGCUGCCGCGGCGCUCGGACAGGGAGGCUAUCCCCAAGGUGCUGCAGGGAUUUCAAACGGUGCGUGCGUCCUCUGCUCGCUGUGGAUUCUAAAUUUCCGAUCCUUCUACACUGGUGUUCGAUUUCACUUUGAGUGUGACUGGAGGUCGUUGACUCCUACUUUGCCUUGUAAACGAAUCAUUUGAUUUCAUCUGCACUUUGCAUGAAAUGCCUGAGAAUAAGUUGCUUUAAAUCUGUUAAGCUGAAUAAAUGAGGGCGCUUUUUUGUGGCCA
This 1509-nucleotide long non-coding RNA is filed under the name Betta splendens (Siamese fighting fish). Its description in RNAcentral is "lncRNA (ENSBSLG00000004927.1)". Lineage: Eukaryota; Metazoa; Chordata; Actinopteri; Anabantiformes; Osphronemidae. The record is from RNAcentral.